This 468-nucleotide ribosomal RNA is filed under the name uncultured bacterium. Its description in RNAcentral is "partial 16S ribosomal RNA". It matches the Rfam family "Bacterial small subunit ribosomal RNA", at positions 28 to 507 of the family's 1533-position model. The record is from RNAcentral.
GACGAACGCUGGCGGCGUGCUUAACACAUGCAAGUCGACCGGACAGGCCCGGCUCUUGUGGCGUGCUCGUGUGUCGCACGGGUGAGUAUCACGUGUGUAACCUGCCCUUGUCUUUGGGAUAACUCUAGGAAACUGGGGCUCUUACCGGAUAUGAUCUUUUGCUGCAUGGUGGGCGUUGGUAAGUUUCGGUGGUUGGGGCUGGAAUGGCGGCUUAUCAGCUUGUUGGUGGGGUAGUGGCUUACCAAGGCUGUGACGGCUAGCCGGCCUGAGAGGAGGACCAGCCACAAGAGGACUAAGGUACGGCGCAGACGACUACGGGAGGCAGCAGUGGGGAGUAUUGCACAGCGGUGGGCAGCAGGAUGAAGCAGCGCCGCGGGCGGGAUGACGGCCUUCUGGGGAUAAACAGCUUUCGCCGGCAACGAAGAGGGAGUGACGGUAAUUGGUAAAGAAGCACCGGCUAACUACGUG